GCGGACGGGUGAGUAACGCGUGGGUAACCUGCCCUGUACUGGGGGACAACAGUUGGAAACGACUGCUAAUACCGCAUAAGCGCACGGGAUCGCAUGAUCGUGUGUGAAAAACUCCGGUGGUACAGGAUGGACCCGCGUCUGAUUAGCUGGUUGGUGAGGUAACGGCCCACCAAGGCAACGAUCAGUAGCCGGCCUGAGAGGGUGAACGGCCACAUUGGGACUGAGACACGGCCCAAACUCC
This 241-nucleotide ribosomal RNA is filed under the name uncultured Lachnospiraceae bacterium. RNAcentral describes it as "partial 16S ribosomal RNA". It matches the Rfam family "Bacterial small subunit ribosomal RNA", at positions 98 to 339 of the family's 1533-position model. Lineage: Bacteria; Bacillati; Bacillota; Clostridia; Lachnospirales; Lachnospiraceae. The record is from RNAcentral.